UGUAAGGGCAGGUUUGCGAGGGGGUUGAGGGUGACGUCUUGAGGCGGGGGACACUUGUCCCUGUUGAGCUCAGAUUAACGAGCUCAUAAUGGGAUCACGGGCCCGCGGGGCCUCUAGUGAGGGUGGAAAUCUCCAGCGUUGUCACACGCGCCCUGUCAGCCAUGGGACAAAAGGGCUGCCGCUUCUCCCUCUUCUUCUUCUCGCCGGUGCAGGUAGGACGGGCGUGGGAAUUGAGUUUUCUGCUUUUAUUCACUCUAUUGAAAAUCAUGUACAGCGACUGAAUAUGUAGUUAGCCCAUCAUAUGAUUCUACCUGUAAAAAUUGACACUCGUGUUGACAUAUUUAUACACCAUAUCACACAAUACAUGUAUAUGCUAUUUAAUUACUUCCUAUGUACUUUUGGUUGGGCGCAAUCUUAGUUACCUUGCAUUUGUGGCUUGUGCAAUCACAUUUAAUUUCAUCUAAUC
Molecule: long non-coding RNA, 466 nt
Organism: Hippocampus comes (tiger tail seahorse)
Lineage: Eukaryota; Metazoa; Chordata; Actinopteri; Syngnathiformes; Syngnathidae
Exons: 2
Source: RefSeq, a predicted model, not a curated record